This 162-nucleotide small nuclear RNA is filed under the name Dasypus novemcinctus (nine-banded armadillo). RNAcentral describes it as "U1 spliceosomal RNA (ENSDNOG00000028253.2)". It matches the Rfam family "U1 spliceosomal RNA". From Rfam's summary of the family: U1 is a small nuclear RNA (snRNA) component of the spliceosome (involved in pre-mRNA splicing). Its 5' end forms complementary base pairs with the 5' splice junction, thus defining the 5' donor site of an intron. The record is from RNAcentral. Lineage: Eukaryota; Metazoa; Chordata; Mammalia; Cingulata; Dasypodidae.
AUACUUAACUGGCAGAACAGAUCAUGAUCACGAAGGUGGUUUUCCCAGGGCAAGGCUUAUCCAUUGCACUCCAGAUGUGCUGACCCCUGUGAUUUCCCUAGAUGUGGGAUACUCAACUGCAUAAUUUGUGGUAGUGGGGGACUGUGCUUGCGCUCUCUCUUG